This is a long non-coding RNA of Armigeres subalbatus, 988 nucleotides long. RefSeq lists it as uncharacterized. Lineage: Eukaryota; Metazoa; Arthropoda; Insecta; Diptera; Culicidae. The record is from RefSeq and is a predicted model, not a curated record. The transcript has 3 exons.
GAAAGAAGCAAUAAAAUAUAGCAACAGCACGGGCGCAAUGGAACCCAAUCCACUGUUCCGAAGCGAAAAACACCGAAGAUCUUUAUAGCAUGUGGCAUAAACACAAUUGUGUACUUAUUGCCCUGCUGGAAGAUCGGUGCCCUUCGCUGCUGUUGGUAACACUAUAAAGAUCUUCGAUGCCUUUUAUUCACCAUAGUGAUGUUAAUGAAUGGCGCCAUAGGAUCCGAUGAUGCGACCGGAAUUCAGUCUAGAUCCCCACCGCGAGAUGCACGGAGAUCUGUCGAAUUGUUGCACACCAGGUCCGACAUAAGCCGCUAAAGGAGGAACAUCAAUCUAAUCAAAUAUAGGCGCUAGGAUAUACGAUUCGUUGCCGCGGACAGAAGUUCCCAUUCGUGAGAGCGGUUGCUGCUGAAAGAAAGAACAAAACACUAUCACUGGACAGAUGUUUCCACCAUAUACUGGACAAAGCGAAGCAGUUUCAAUCAGACCGUUUUACAACGCGAAUUUGCACCGUAGGGUCUUGAGUGGACCAGCACCAAAGCACGUCCCACAAGUUGAAGUGGCAAACGCAUCAUCCAACGUAGUUUAGUUAGUUCGUUUAACUUAGCAAUCAACCUAAAAUUCUCACUAAGAACAUCUGUGUGCGAUGUUCAAAUAAGUAAAACUUUCAACAUUUGCCUGUUCUGAAAGUGUUACGGGGGGGAAUGUUACGUGAGAAUGUGAUUGUGAACCCCUGAACAUGUGUCCAGCUGUCGGACUAUCGUUAUUGUAUGUGUCUGUUAUUCUUUGGUGUUUUUCUGCUUCACUGUGACGUGCUUGUUGAUGUCGAAAGAAGCAAUAAAAUAUAGCAACAGCACGGGCGCAAUGGAACCCAAUCCACUGUUCCGAAGCGAAAAACACCGAAGAUCUUUAUAGCAUGUGGCAUAAACACAAUUGUGUACUUAUUGCCCUGCUGGAAGAUCGGUGCCCUUCGCUGCUGUUGGUAACA